This 211-nucleotide long non-coding RNA is filed under the name Fukomys damarensis (Damara mole-rat). RNAcentral's name for it is "lncRNA (ENSFDAG00000023672.1)". Lineage: Eukaryota; Metazoa; Chordata; Mammalia; Rodentia; Bathyergidae. The record is from RNAcentral.
GUACUAAGUACUGCAGUGUUCCUGGGUACCUAAAUUCAGACUCCUGACCCUACUGUUAUCCCUUCUCUGAGAUGCUUCAGCCAAGAAGUGUUUUGGACUUCAGAUUUUAGAAUAUCUGCCUGCACUUGAUGAGAUAUCUUGGGGGUAGGACCCAAAUAUAAGCAAAAAAUUAAUCCAUGUGUUUUACAUACCUUAUUCACAUAGACCGAAG